UAUAAAUGGGCAAUAGAGUAGUGUAGUGGUA
This 31-nucleotide non-coding RNA is filed under the name Rattus norvegicus (Norway rat). The record is from RNAcentral. Lineage: Eukaryota; Metazoa; Chordata; Mammalia; Rodentia; Muridae.